AGUGAACGCUGGCGGUAGGCCUAACACAUGCAAGUCGAACGGCAGCACAGUAAGAGCUUGCUCUUACGGGUGGCGAGUGGCGGACGGGUGAGGAAUACAUCGGAAUCUACUUUUUCGUGGGGAUAACGUAGGGAAACUUACGCUAAUACCGCAUACGACCUACGGGUGAAAGCAGGGGAUCUUCGGACCUUGCGCGAUUGAAUGAGCCGAUGUCGGAUUAGCUAGUUGGCGGGGUAAAGGCCCACCAAGGCGACGAUCCGUAGCUGGUCUGAGAGGAUGAUCAGCCACACUGGAACUGAGACACGGUCCAGACUCAUACGGGAGGCAGCAGUGGGGAAUAUUGGACAAUGGGCGCAAGCCUGAUCCAGCCAUACCGCGUGGGUGAAGAAGGCCUGCGGGCUGUAAAGCCCUUUUGUUGGGAAAGAAAAGCAGCAGGUUAAUACCCCGCUGUUCUGACGGUACCCAAAGAAUAAGCACCGGCUAACUUCGU
RNAcentral lists this ribosomal RNA (490 nucleotides) under uncultured bacterium. Its description in RNAcentral is "partial 16S ribosomal RNA". It matches the Rfam family "Bacterial small subunit ribosomal RNA", at positions 29 to 506 of the family's 1533-position model. The record is from RNAcentral.